This 497-nucleotide ribosomal RNA is filed under the name uncultured bacterium. RNAcentral describes it as "partial 16S ribosomal RNA". It matches the Rfam family "Bacterial small subunit ribosomal RNA", at positions 28 to 507 of the family's 1533-position model. The record is from RNAcentral.
GAUGAACGCUGGCGGCGUGCCUAAUACAUGCAAGUCGAGCGAACAGACGAGGAGCUUGCUCCUCUGACGUUAGCGGCGGACGGGUGAGUAACACGUGGAUAACCUACCUAUAAGACUGGGAUAACUUCGGGAAACCGGAGCUAAUACCGGAUAAUAUAUUGAACCGCAUGGUUCAAUAGUGAAAGACGGUUUUGCUGUCACUUAUAGAUGGAUCCGCGCCGCAUUAGCUAGUUGGUAAGGUAACGGCUUACCAAGGCAACGAUGCGUAGCCGACCUGAGAGGGUGAUCGGCCACACUGGAACUGAGACACGGUCCAGACUCCUACGGGAGGCAGCAGUAGGGAAUCUUCCGCAAUGGGCGACAGCCUGACGGAGCAACGCCGCGUGAGUGAUGAAGGUCUUCGGAUCGUAAAACUCUGUUAUUAGGGAAGAACAAAUGUGUAAGUAACUAUGCACGUCUUGACGGUACCUAAUCAGAAAGCCACGGCUAACUACGUG